Dermatophagoides farinae (American house dust mite) is the source of this 915-nucleotide non-coding RNA. Lineage: Eukaryota; Metazoa; Arthropoda; Arachnida; Sarcoptiformes; Pyroglyphidae. The record is from RefSeq and is a predicted model, not a curated record.
UUACAAUACUAUAUUUACCUGUGUGUAAUAUUUAUAUCAAUUUAAAUCAUCAUCAUCAUCAUCUACAUAAGUUGAAAUAGAAUCGAAUUUUUGUGUAUUUCCACAUGGAUGUUUCGACCGUGUUGAACAACUAUUACUAAUGAGCAAAGAAACAAAAAAAAACUUCCAUCGCAUCCAGAUCUUUGAUCGGCCCUUAACAAAGAUGUAUGUUGUUUUAUUAUCGUAUAGUAGAUUUGAUGAUGAUAAAACCGUAUUAUCAACUAUAAAUGGUCAAAAAAAAUUGUGAGUGAAAAUAAUUUUUUUUCACUUCAUUUGUUGGAACAAAGGACAAUGGAUUUGAAUUAUAGAUAAAUCAAAAUGAAAAUAGUAUCCAUGUAUGGUACAGUCUGAAAAUAUAUCUCUUUAAAGGCCACAAUAGCAGACAUUUCAUAAUCAUGUAAAAAUAUUUUUGGUCCGUUAUUUUUUAAACAAAAUUGAAUUUGUUUGUAGAGAUAUAUAUGUAUGAUGAUGAUAUUUGCCGAUCACUCAUCAGUGCAUACAAAUCAGGUACCAUCUAAUAUUAAAAAAAGAAAAUAAUAAAAAAAAGUUAUAUGAGUUACCUUCUCACCAUUCCAUACACAUGAAUAAUGUAUAACUGCAUGAAUAUGUUUGUUACACAAAAAAAAACAUUCCAUUUGCAGUUCAACAAUUCAAUUUGAUUUGCAAAUUUCAUGUUUCAUGUAUAUUUGUCUUUUUUAAAAAAAAUGUAUAACACUUUUAUUUUAUUGAAUUAAAUAAAAAAAAAAGAAAAAAAAAGUUUAAAAAUCAUAAGUCCAAUGUAAAAGACGUAUUUGACGUGUUAAUUGCCAUAAUAAUUUCAAUUGUACAAUUUGUUGUCGUUUUAAUUGAUUAAUUUGUUCGGCAUUCAUUAUAGGA